RNAcentral lists this ribosomal RNA (469 nucleotides) under uncultured bacterium. Its description in RNAcentral is "bacterial SSU rRNA". It matches the Rfam family "Bacterial small subunit ribosomal RNA", at positions 1029 to 1496 of the family's 1533-position model. The record is from RNAcentral.
CGGAGACAGGUGGUGCAUGGUUGUCGUCAGCUCGUGUCGUGAGAUGUUGGGUUAAGUCCCGCAACGAGCGCAACCCCUUAUACUCAGUAGCCAGCAGGUGAGGCUGGGCACUCUGAGGAGACUGCCAGGGAGAACCUGGAGGAAGGCGGGGAUGACGUCAAAUCAUCAUGCCCCUUAUGAUUUGGGCUACACACGUGCUACAAUGGCGUAAACAGAGGGAAGCGAAGGAGUGAUCCGGAGCGAAUCCGAGAAAUAACGUCUCAGUUCGGAUUGCAGUCUGCAACUCGACUGCAUGAAGCUGGAAUCGCUAGUAAUCGCGGAUCAGAAUGCCGCGGUGAAUACGUUCCCGGGUCUUGUACACACCGCCCGUCACACCAUGGGAGCCGUUAACGCCCGAAGUCAGUGGCCCAACCGAGAGGAGGGAGCUGCCGAAGGCGGGAAUGGUAACUGGGGUGAAGUCGUAACAAGG